UUUUGACCAAUCCAUGCUUUACACAUAAUUCUUUUGUCCAUUCUAACAAACUCAAAUGCAAAAUUCACACAUCUUACUAAUUUAUAUUCACAAUUUGCAUUUACCCAUACACAUUUACAUGGAAGGAAUCUUUUUUGGUAUUAUUUUAACACACUUUUCCACGUAUUCACAUACUGCACAUGCCAUCCGUCCAUAUAUAUCCACACAAUAAUAACUGCACAACUUUUCCUCCAAGCAACUCUCCAUAUGUAAUCACCAAGGUAGAGAACAGAAAACAGAGAAGAACGAAGGGGCUGGGGGGAAAAAGAGAACAGGGAAAAGGGAACAAAAAAGAGAACGGACUGAUCUGGGGAACGAAAAUACAAGGGAAAGGGGAUUUUCACAACAAAAAAUGGGAAAAGGGGUUGGGCAGAUUUCAGAAAACACACACAAAGCCACACACAAAAAUAAAAAAGGGAACAAAACGAGGAGGGGAGCUGGAUAUAAAUAAAAUGAACGAGCACCUUCCCUGAUAAAGCUCAGCCACAUCUAAUUUCCAAGAACGACAACCUCCCAAAACCAAGCUAAUCCCCCUUCACCCUAUGACAACAUGCCCUCCUCUAUAACAUAAACGAAAUGAAAAUGACGAGAAACAGAGGGGAAAGAGUAGAGAGAAUAAACCAAGCAUAAAAUCAAGAUCUUAAAAAAAAGAAAACACAACCUUCUUCUUCAUAAAAGAUCUAGCUCUAAAACCAACCUUUAUCAGUCAGAAAUGAGCUUUCAAACUCCAUAAACACAGCAGUUUGGUCUUCUUCACCAUCGAUUCGAGUUUUCGUCUGCGGUUCGUCACAUUUUUUGAGUUCAAAGCUGUCAAACAAUUGAAUUUCUGACUUAUUUGAGGUUUAUUUCUCCCUUUCCGCUAUUGUUUUUGCUUAAGGUCAUGCUUUUGUUUUGAUAGGCUCGUUAAUCAGUCUAUGUUCUGUUUUGUUGAUCGUCUGAGUUUAACCUUUAUUCCUAUGUUUUGGAAUGUGUCCUAUUAGUAUUUGGUUUGUUUAUUUUUGUUUCGCUAAUUGUUGUUUAUAUAUGGUUUGGUUUAAUCUUCUUGGAUAGAUUUUCAUGACUAAAAAUGAGUUCGGUUUCCCCGAUUCAUUGCUACACUAAGGUAUAGAUGUUUAAUGAGUGUUAGAUUAAAAUUUUGGUGACUUCAAGCAUCUGGCAACACCUCAAAUGAAAACUGACGUGUCUAAAAUGUAGUCUAAAUGAAAAUUAAAACAAAAUGAAGUAGAAGAAUUGAAAUUGCAACACUUAAAUGUCACAUGCUUCUAAAAGUUCUUUUGGCCUCACAAUAAUUUCAAACAUAGAAAACUAAAUAAUUUAUGAACAUCAUAGUUGUGACGACCCAGCCAGUCGUCUCAUGAGUACCGCUCUAUUUCCUCCAUUUCAGCUUCUUUAUGAUUCGUUAUCCGUGUUUUGUGGUAUUGGGUUGGACAGAUCGAGUCCGGAAUGAGUUUGGUGAAGUUUGAGACACUUAGUCUCUUUUAAGAAGGCUUAAGUUGGAAAAGUCAAUUGGAUGUUGACUUAUGUGUUAGAGGGCUCGGAUAUGAGUUCUGAUGAUUCUGUUAGCUUUGGGAGGUGAUUUGUGACUUAGGAGCAUGAUCAUAAUGGGUUUUGGAGGUUCGGAGUAGACUUAGGCUUGAAUUGGUGAAAUUGAUAUUUUGGCGAAUUUCAGUUGAUAGGCGAGAUUUUGAUAUAAGGGUCGGAAUGGAACUCCGAGAGUUGUAGUAGCUUCGUUGUAUCAAUUGGGAUAUGUGUGUAAAAUUUUAGGUCAUUUGGACGUGGUUUGGUUGGGUUUUUCAUCAAAAGCGUAUUCGGAAAAUUUUAGAAACUUAGGCUUGAAUCUGAUGUGAUUUGGUAGAUUUGAUGUUGUUUGGGGUUUUUUGAUGAUUGGAACAAGUUUGAAUAAGGUAUUGGGUUAUGUUUGUGCUUUUGGUUGAGGUCCCAGGGGGCCUCGGGAUGAUUUUGGGUGGUUAACGGGGAAGUUGAAGUGUAAUUGCAGCUGCUGAAGUUUUGCUGCUUCUGGAGUUUUCUUACCUGCGAUUUGGGGACCGCAGGUGCGGCACCGCAUAUGCGUUGGAUUGGCCAUAGAAGCGAAUCUUGGGAAGAAUGUCUGGAACCGCAUAUGCGGUAGAGGGACCGCACCUGCGGAGUAGCAGAUGCUGUUUAGGCUAGAUUAGUGAAUUUUCGCAGAAGCAGAGUUUUGACUGCAAAUGCGGUACCGCAGAUGCGGUGGGUAUGCCGCAGAUGCGGAAAAGCCUGGGCAAAAUGCAUAUAUUUCUUCCUUCACGAUUUUUUAAGGGUUUAACCAUUUUUAAACUGGAAAUUGGGAGCUUUGGGCGAUUUUGAGGAGAGGAAUCAAAGGGACUUCGUUAAGGUAUGGAUUUUGAAACCUAAAACACACUUCUAAAAAUGGAGGAUUAGGGCUUGAGUUUAAGAGGCCUUAAGUUGAGAAUUUGAAGGGUCAUUUAAACUCUGAUUUUGGUAUUCUUGAUACGUAUAGACUCGUGGGGAGAUAAGGAAUCUAAUGAUGUAAAAAUUUCUGAGUUUCGAGAAGUGGGCCCAAGGCUCAGGUUUUGAUAAUUUCGGAAUUUUUGGUAUUUUUCGAUUGUUUUCACUUGGGCUUCAUUACCUUAGCAUAUUUUGACGCCGUGACUCUGAUUUUGAAUAGAUUCGAUACGAGUGGAGGCCGAUUCGAGGAGAAAAGGCAUCCCGGAGUAGUAUUUUCACCUGUUUGAGGUAAGUAACCAUUGUAAAUCUGGAACUGAGGGUACAAAACCCCGAUAGUUGUCUUGUUUUGAUAAAAGCGGUGGCGCUCAUGCUAGGUGACGAGCGCAUGAGCGUGCAUCGGUAGGGAUUUCCACCUGGUCCGUCCCAUAGCAAUUAUUAAGUCACGUAUUUGAUUUGAAAAUACUAUGUUAUUCCGUAUUUUGGAUAUUUGUACUGUAUUAUGGGUUGUAUCCCAUGUUUGGGACCUUGUAUCGACCUGUAGAAACCCUUAGGGGUAUUUUGACUAUUUUUCCUCACUUUACUUGCUAAAAGCAUAUCCUCAGUCGUUUUUUACCUGUUUAAAAGCUAAAACUGGUUUCAUCGCUUUACUCCUAAUUGUGAGGACUAUUUGGGCUGAGUUCCCUGAUUCCUAUUGUUGUGCCCGAGAGGUUGUGAGGUUAAGGACUGAGAGAGGUUGAUAACCCAAUUGUGAGAAUAUUAUAUGUAUAUAUUAUGGAUCAGGAUGCACGGCGCAUCGAUACUUAUAUGGAUCGGGCUGCACAUCGCAGCGAUAUAUAUAUUGGAUUGGGCUGCACGCAGCAAAUAUGAUGCUUGGGCUGUAAGAGCCCCUCCGAAGUCUGCACACCCCCAGUGAGCGUAGUCGACUAUAAAUGUAUGGAUCAGGUUGCACGCCACAAUGGUUACUAUGAUUUCUAUUAUUAUGAGAUAUAAAUGAGAUGAAUGCUGAGAGUGAGUACUAAGUGACGAGAGUUGAGUCACGAGUCACUGAGAGGCUGCCCGAGGGGCCAGAUUCUGUCUGAUUCCUUUCUCGAGAGGCCUUGUCUUGAUGUUUUCACUGAUUUCACUCUUAUUUUAAAUAAGCCUCUAUUUGAUAUACAGCUAUGUAAUUGGUUCCAAAUGUUUAAACAGGAAAUGUGGUUUUAUAACAAAAAAUGAUUUUUGAACCGUAAAGAUGACAUGUUAUUUCGUUGGUUAUUCCGUUAUGUGUUUUUGAACUGCUCAUCACUACUUUCAGACCUUAUUUACUUUAGUUACAUAUUGAGUUGGCGUACUCACGUUACUCCCUGCACCUUGAGUCCAGAUCCAAGUGCCCGAGUGAGCAUUAUUUAGUUGGUUCAGUUUUCUGUCGGGGAUUUCGAGGUAGCAACAUGGCGUUCGUAGCCCUGUUCUCUACCUUCUAUCUUGUUAUCUUUUUAGUAUUUUCUAGACUAUCUAUGUAGUAGGAUGUUUGGACUUGCAUUAGAGGCUCUAGACUCAUGACACCAGAUCAGUUGGGCUGUGUAGUUUAUUAUUAUUUUGACUUCCACAUAUUUUCUGUCAUUUUAAACAUUUAUUAUGAAAUCGGUGUUUAAAACUCGUGUUGGAAAUGUUUUCUUACUAAAGGAAAUGGGUUGUGGUUAGUGGACUGGUUGGCUUGCCUAGUAAUGUGACAAGUUGGUAUCAGAGCCUAGGUUACAUAGGUCUCGUGAGUCAUGAGCUGGUUUAGUAGAGUCUCGCGGAUGAGUAUGGAGACAUUUGUAUUUAUCCUCGAGACGCUGCAGAACCUUUAAGAAAAACUUCAUAUUCUUGAAAUUCUUGUCGUGCAAAUUUCUUGAUCCGAGUAUUAAACAUAUGAUAUUCCAUUCUCUCACAGAUGGUGAGGAUACGUGCUACCGAGUAGGGCGGAUGAUCGCUAGUACCACCAGCUGGGGUCACCGGAGGCCGAGGUCGCGGUCGAGGCCGUGGUAGGGGCAGAGCAGCUAGAGUAGCACCGACAGAUCCACCAGCUGCCCUAGUUCCGGAUCAGGUCCUGGUUGUGGAUGUUAUAGCAGCACCGGUUCAGGUACCAGCUGUGCCUAUUGUGAUCCCAGGUCUCCAGGAGGCUUUAGCUCAGAUAUUAUCAGUUUGUACCGGUUUGGCUCAGGCGGUUUCAGCUACUAUGGCCGCAGCUACUUCCCAGGCCGGGGGAGUCACCCAGACUCCCGUUGCUCGCACACCUGAGUAGGUAGUGAAGGGAUUACAGACAAUGGGGGCACCUCAAGCCCAGCCGGUUGCACCAGCUCAGAAGUUUGUAGUACCAGUUAUGCCAGAUGAUGAGCAGCGUCGACUUGAGAUGUUUGGUAGGCUCCAACCUCCGUCAUUCAGCGGUGCAGAGGGCGAGGAUGCCUAGGGGUUCUUGGAUAAGUGCUAGCGAAUGCUUCAUACAGCAGGGAUUCUUGAGACUAGUGGUGUGGUAUUUACUACAUUUUAGUUUUCUAGGGCUGCCUUCACUAGGUAGGAGGCGUAUGAGAGGCGUAGGCCUGUUGGUGUAGCGCCCCUUACUUGGUAGCAGUUCUCUGUUCUCUUCCUGGAUAAGUAUGUACCACAGUAGCACCGAGAGGAGCUGCGCAAGCAGUUUGAGCAGCUGCGCUAGGGGGAGAUGACGGUGACGCAGUAUGAGAUGCGGUUUUCUGAGUUAGCUCGUCAUGCGGUUUGGAUGGUUCCUACCGACUAAGAGAGGAUAAGGAGGUUUGUUGAUCGCCUCACGUACCAGCUUCAGAUUCUCAUAACUAGGGAGAGAGUGACAGGUGCUACCUUCGAGGAGGUUGUUGAUAUCGCCCGUGAGAUUGAGUCGGUUCACCGGCAGAAGCGAGAGGAGAGGGAGGCCAAGAGGCCUCAGGGAUCUGGUAGAUUUAGUAGUGCUCCUUCGAGGGGUCAGUUCUAGUAGGGCAGAGGCUGUUCAUUCAGGCAUGCUCAUUCAACUCGCCCGGGUUGCCGUGGAGUAUCAUCGGGUCAUGGCUUUCAUAGUUCUCAUCAGGGCCACUCAUCACUUAGUGCCCUUCCAGCUCAGAGCUCGUCUCGUGCUCUAUCAGUCUAGGGUUCUUCCAUGCCAGGUCCUUCUACUUGUCACUCUGGUGUCAGGGGUUCCCUUCAGUCCCCAUCUCCAGCACCGGGGAGUUAUUAUGAAUGUGGCUGUUUUGGGCAUAUGAGGAGGCAAUGUCCUUGUCUUCGUGAUGGUCAGUCUCAGCAGAGGGAUCAGCCCUCAACUUCUGCUCCAGUUACUUCACCACCCGUCCAGCCCGCUAGUGGUGGAGGUUAGGCAACCAGGGGUCGCCCAGAAGGGGAGGUCGAUCAGGCGGUGGUCAGGAUCGUUUCUAUGCUAUCCCAGGUAGACCAAAUGCUAUUGCUUCGGAUACUGUCAUUACAUGUAUUGUUUCAGUCUGCCAUAGAGAUGCCUCUAUAUUAUUUGAUCCCGGUUCCACCUUUUCUUAUGUGUCCUCGUACUUUGCUCAUUAUUUGGGUACACCCCGGGAGUUUCUUGCUUUACCUGUUCAUGUAUCUACCCCGGUAGGUGAUACUAUUGUUGUAGACCGUAUGUACCGGUCAUGUGUGGUGACUAUUGGGGGUCUGGAGACCCAAGUGGAUCUGUUAUUACUGAGUAUGGUUGAUUUUGAUGUCAUUUUGGGAAUUGAUUGGUUAUCUCCGUAUCGUGCUAUUCUAGACUGUCAUGCCAAGACAAUCACUUUGGCUAUGCCGGGUAUGCCACGGAUCGAGUGGCGAGGUGUGACUGAUUACGUUCCUAGUAGAGUUAUCUUUUUUUUGAAUGCCCAUCGUAUGGUUGGGAAGGGUUGUCUUUCAUAACUAGCAUUUUGUGAGGGAUGUUGGAUCUGAGGCUCCCAGUAUUGAUUCUGUCCUAGUUGUAAGGGAUUUUCCAGAUGUGUUUCCUGCAGACCUGCCGGGCAUGCCAUCGGAUAGGGAUAUUGAUUUUGGUAUUGAUCUAGUGUCGGGCACUUAGCCCAUUUCUAUUCUGCUGUAUCGUAUGGCACCAGCAGAGUUGAAGGAGUUAAAAGAGAAGCUUCAGGAACUCCUUGAUAAAGGGUUCAUUCGGCUUAGUGUGUCACCUUGGGGUGCGCCUGUUCUAUUUGUGAAGAAGAAGGAUGGCACAAUGAGAAUGUGCAUUGAUUAUAGGCAAUUGAAUAAGGUAAUAAUUAAGAACAAGUAUCCUUUGCCUCACAUUGAUGAUUUGUUUGACCAGCUUCAGGGAGCGACAGUGUUCUCCAAGAUUGAUCUCCGUUCGGGCUAUCACCAGUUGAAGAUCAGGGAUUCAGAUAUAAUUAAGCGGCUUUCAAGACCCGAUAUGGUCAUUAUAAGUUCUUGGUAAUGUCUUUUGGGCUGACCAAUGCCCCAACAUCGUUCAUGCAUUUGAUGAACAGCGUGUUCCGGCCUUAUCUUUAUUCGUUUGUCAUAAUCUUCAUUGAUGAUAUUCUGGUGGAUUCCCGUAGUCAAGAGGAGCACGCGGAGCAUUUGAAAGUGGUAUUGCAGAGAUUGAGGGAUGAGAAACUUUAUGCAAAAUUCUCCAAGUGUGAGUUUUGGCUUGGUUCAGUGGCUUUCUUGGGGCACGUGGUGUCCAGCAAGGGUAUUCAGGUUGAUCUAAAGAAGAUAGAUGCGGUUCAAAGUUGGCCUAGGCCGUCCUCAGCCAUAGAGAUUCGCAGCUUUCUUGGCUUGGUAGGCUAUUAUUGCCGGUUUGUUUAGGGAUUCUCAUCUAUUGCAUCGCCCUUGACCAAGUUGACUCGCAAUGGUGCUCCAUUUGUAUGGUUAGACAAGUGUGAGGAGAGCUUUUAGAAGCUCAAGACACCUUUGACCACAACUCCAGUGUUAUUUUUGCCAUCAGCUUUAGGCUCCUAUACCGUGUAUUGUGAUACUUCAAGAGUUGGUAUUGGUUGUGUGUUGAUGCAGGAGGGUAGAGUUAUUGAUUAUGCUUCUCGUCAAUUGAAGCCCCAUGAGAAGAACUACCACGUUCAUGAUUUGGAGUUGGCUGCCAUAGUUCACGCAUUGAAGAUUUGGAUACAUUACUUGUAUGGCGCAUCUUGUGAAGUGUUCACUGAUAAUCGCAGUCUUCAGCAUUUGUUCAAGUAAAAGGAUCUUAAUUUGAGGCAGCGAAGAUGGUUGGAGUUGCUUAAGGAUUAUGAUAUUACGAUAUUGUAUCAUCCGGGAAAAGCCAAUGUGGUGGUCGAUGCUUUGAGCUGAAAGGCAGUGAGUAUGGGGAGUUUGGCAUAUAUUCCAGUUGGGGAGAGACCCCUUGCUAUUGAUGUUUAGGCCUUGGCCAAUCGGUUAGUGAGGUUAUAUAUUUUGUAGCCCAGUCGGGUGUUGCCUUGUAUGGUUUCUCGGUCUUCCUUAUAUGAUCGCAUCAGAGAACGCCAGUAUGAUGAUCCACAUUUGCUUGUCCUUAGGGACAUAGUUCAGCAUGAUGAUGCCAGGGAUGUAACCAUCGGUAAUGAUGGGGUGUUAAGGAUGCAGGGCUGAAUUUGUGUGCCCAAUGUAGAUGGGAUUCGGGAGUUUAUUCUGGAGGAAGCCCAUAGCUCACGGUAUUCCAUUCAUCCGGGUGCCGCGAAGAUGUAUCAGGAUUUGAGACAGCACUAUUGGUGGAGGAGAAUGAAGAAAGAUAUUGUGGGAUUUGUAGCUGGGUGUCUCAAUUGUCAGCAGGUGAAAUAUGAGCAUCAGAGACCGGGUGGCUUACUUCAGCAGAUGGUUAUUCUUGAGUGGAAGUGGAAGAGGAUCACUAUGGACUUUGUUGUUGGACUUCCACGGACUUUGAAGAAGUUUGAUGCUAUUUGGGUGAUUGUGGAUCGGCUGACCAAGUCCGCGCACUUCAUUCCUAUGUGUACUACCUAUUCUUCAGAGCGGUUGGUAGUGAUCUAUAUCCGGGAGAUUGUUCGUUUGUAUGGUGUUCUAGUUUCCAUCAUUCGGAUAGAGGUACUCAGUUUACCUCACGGUUUUGAAGGGUCGUACAGAGCGAGUUGGGUACUCAGGUUGAGUUGAGCACAACUUUUCAUCCUCAGACGGACGGACAGUACGUAUGUACUAUUCAAAUAUUGGAGGACAUGUUGCGUGCUUGCGUCAUGAAUUUCGGUGGAUCAUGGGAUAAGUUUCUACCGCUCGCAGAGUUUGCUUAUAACAAUAGUUUCCAGUCGAGUAUUCAGAUGGCUCCAUAUGAGGCUUUGUAUGGGAGGCGGGGUAGAUCUCUAAUUGAUUGGUUCGAGCCCAGUGAGGCUAGGCUAUUAGGGACUGAUUUGGUGCAGGAUGCUUUGGAGAAGGCAAAGAUGAUUCAGGAGAGGCUUCGUGCAGCGCAGUUGAGACAAAAGAGUUUUGCCAGUAGAAAGGUUCGAGAUGUGUCCUACAUGGUUAGCGAGAAGGUUCUGUUGAAGGUUUUACCCAUGAAGGGUGUCAUGAGAUUUGGGAAGAAAGGGAAAUUUAGUCUGCGGUUCAUUGGGUCUUUUGAGGUGCUUCAUGGGGUUGGGUAGGUGGCUUAUGAGCUUGCUUUGCCGCCCAUCUUGUCGAGUGUGCAUCCGGUAUUUCAUGUUUCUAUGCUCCGGAAGUAUAUUGGAGAUCCCUCUCAUGGUUUGGACUUUAGCACAGUUCAGCUGGAUGAUGAUUUGACCUAUGAUAUGGAGCUAAUAGCCAUUUUGGGUCGUCAGGUUCAAAAGUUGAGGUCAAAAGAUAUAGCGUCAGUGAAAGUGUAGUGGAGGGGUCGGCCCGUGGAGUAGGCUACCUGGUAGACAGAGCGGGAGAUGCAGAGUAGAUAUACUCACCUAUUUGAGGCUUCAGGUAUGUUUUUUGACUCGUUCGAGGACAAACGUUUGUUUAAGUUGGGGAGGAUGUGACGACCAGCCCAGUCGUCUCAUGAGUACCGCUCCAUUUCCUCCAUUUCAGCUUCUUUAUGCUUCGUUAUCCAUGUUUUGUGGUAUCGGGUUGGUCGGAUUGAGUUCGGAAUGAGUUUUGUGAAGUUUGAGACACUUAGUCUCUUUUAAGAAGGCUUAGGUUGGAAAAGUCAAUCGGAUGUUGACUUAUGUGUUAGAGGGCUCGGAUAUGAGUUUUGAUGGUUCGGUUAGCUUCGGGAGGUGAUUUGUGACUUAUGAGCGUGAUCAGAAUGGGUUGUGGAGGUUCGGAGUAGACUUAGGCUUGAAUUGGCGAAAUUGAUAUUUUGGCGAAUUCCGGUUGAUAGGCGAGAUUUUGAUAUAGGGGUCGGAAUGGAACUCCGAGAGUUGCAGUAUCUUCGUUGUGUCAAUUGGGAUAUGUGUGUAAAAUUUCAGGUCAUUCGGACGUGCUUUGGUUGGGUUUUUGAUCAAAAGCGUAUUUCGAAAUUUUUUAGAAACUUAGGCUUGAAUCCGAUGUGAUUUGGUAGAGUUGAUGUUGUAUGGGGUGUUUUGAUGAUUGGAACAAGUUUGAAUAAGGUAUUGGGUUAUGUUUGUGCUUUUAGUUGAGGACUCGGGGGUCCUCGGGAUGAUUUCGUGUGGUUAACGGGGAAGUUGAAGUGUAAUUGCAGCUGCUGAAGUUUUGUUGCUUCUGGUGUUUUCGCACCUGCGGUUUGGGGACUGCAGGUGCGGCGCCGCAUAUGCGUUGGAUUGUCCGCAAAAGCGGAUCUUGGGAAGAAUGUCUGGAACCGCAGAUGCGGUAGAGGGACCGCACCUGCAGAGUCGUAGAUGUGGCUAGUAGACCGCAGAUGCGGUUUAGGCUGGAUUAAUGAAUUUCCACAGAAGUGGAGUUUUGACCGCAAAUGCGGUACCGCAAAUGCGGUACCGCAGAUGCGGUGGGUGUGCUGCAGAUGUGGAAAAGCCUGGGCAAAAUGUAUAUAUUUCUUCCUUCGCGAUUUUUGAACGGUUUAACCAUUUUUAAACUCGGAAUUGGAAGCUUUGGGCAAUUUUGAUGAGAGAAAUCAAAGAGACUUCAUUAAGGUAAGGAUUUUAGACCUAAAACACACUACUAUGGUAAUAUUUCAUGGAUUAAGGCUGCAAUUAAAGGAAUUAAAAGGAGGCCUUAAAUUGAGAAUUUGAGGGGUCAUUUGAACUCCGAUUUUGGUACUCUUGAUACGUAUAGACUCGUGGGGAGAUAAGGAAUCUAAUGAUGUGAAAAUUUUUGAGUUUUGAGAAGUGGGCCCGGGGCUCGGGUUUUGAUAAUUUCGGGAUUUUUGGUAUUUUUCGAUUGUUUUCACUUGGGCUUCAUUCCUUUAGCAUAUUUUGACGCCGUGAUUCUGAUUUUGAAUAGAUUCGACGUGAGUGGACGCUGAUUCGAGGGGCAAAGGCAUUNNNNNNNNNNNNNNNNNNNNNNNNNNNNNNNNNNNNNNNNNNNNNNNNNNNNNNNNNNNNNNNNNNNNNNNNNNNNNNNNNNNNNNNNNNNNNNNNNNNNNNNNNNNNNNNNNNNNNNNNNNNNNNNNNNNNNNNNNNNNNNNNNNNNNNNNNNNNNNNNNNNNNNNNNNNNNNNNNNNNNNNNNNNNNNNNNNNNNNNNNNNNNNNNNNNNNNNNNNNNNNNNNNNNNNNNNNNNNNNNNNNNNNNNNNNNNNNNNNNNNNNNNNNNNNNNNNNNNNNNNNNNNNNNNNNNNNNNNNNNNNNNNNNNNNNNNNNNNNNNNNNNNNNNNNNNNNNNNNNNNNNNNNNNNNNNNNNNNNNNNNNNGGCGCACAUGCUAGGUGACGAGCGCGUGGGUGUGAACCGGUAGGGAUUGCGACCUGAUCUGUCCCGUAGCGACUACUAAGCCGAGUAUUUGAUUUGGAAAUACUAUGUUAUUCCGUAUUUUGGAUAUUUAUACUAUAUUAUGGGUUGUAUGCCAUGUUUGGGGCCUUGUGCCGACCUGUAGAAACCCUUGGUGGCAUUUUGAUUGUUUUUCCUCACUUUACUUGCUAAAAGCAUAUCCUCAGUCGUGUUUUACCUAUUUAAAAGCUAAAAUUGGUUUUAUCGCUUUACUCCUAAUUGUGAGGAUUGUUUGGGCUGAGUUCCCUAAUUCAUGUUGUUGUGCCCGAGAGGUUGUGAGGUUAAAGACUGAGAGAUGUUGAGAACUCAAUUGUGAGGAUAUUAUAUGUAUAUAUUAUGGAUCGGGCUGCAUGCAACAUCGAUACUUAUAUAGAUCGAGUUGCACGCCGCAUCGAUAUAUAUAUAUAUAUAUAUAUAUAUAUAUAUAUAUUGUAUCGGGCUGCACGCCGCAACGGUUACUAUGAUUUCUAUUAUUAUGAGAUAUAAAUGAGCUGAGUGCUGAGAGUGAGUACUGAGUGACGAGAGUUGAGUCACGAGUGACGGAGAGGCUGCCCGAGGGGCCAGAUUUUGAGUGAUUCCUUGCUCGAGAAGCCUUGUCAUGAUGUUUUCACUGAUUUCAUUUUCUUUUAAAUAAGCCUCUGUUUGAUAUACUGCUAAGUAAUUGGUUCCAAAUGUUUAAACUGGAAAUGUGGUUUUAUAACAAAAACUGAUUUUUGAACUGUAAAGAUGACAUGUUAUUUCGUUGGUUAUUCCGUUAUGUAUUUUUGAACUUCUCGUCACUACUUUCAGACCUUAUUUACUUUAGUUACUUACUGAGUUGGCGUACUCACGUUACUCCCUGCACCUUGUGUGCAGAUCCAGGUGCCCGAGCAGCCGAGUGAGCAUUAUUCAGCUGGUUCAGUUUUUUGUCGGGGAUUUCGAAGUAGCUGUAUGGCGUUCGUAACCCUGUUCUCUCCCUUCUAUCUUGUUAUCUUUUCAGCAUUUUCUAGACUAUCUAUGUAGUAGGAUGUUCGGACUUGCAUUAGAGGCUCUAGACUCGUGACACCAGAUCAGUUGGGCUAUGUAGUUUAUUAUUAUUUUGCCUUCCGUAUAUUUUCUGUCAUUUUAAACAUUUAUUAUGAAAUCGGUGUUUAAAACUCGUGUUGGAAAUGUUUUCUUACUAAUGGAAAUGGGUUGUGGUUAGUGGACUGGUUGGCUUGCCUAGUAAUGGGAUAGGCGCCAUCACGACCGGUAUUUUGG
Molecule: long non-coding RNA, 12483 nt
Filed under: Nicotiana tabacum (common tobacco)
Lineage: Eukaryota; Viridiplantae; Streptophyta; Magnoliopsida; Solanales; Solanaceae
Description: long non-coding RNA (NTAB_LNC019081)
Source: RNAcentral